Long non-coding RNA from Fundulus heteroclitus (mummichog), 2475 nucleotides. RefSeq lists it as uncharacterized. The record is from RefSeq and is a predicted model, not a curated record. The transcript is spliced from 2 exons. Lineage: Eukaryota; Metazoa; Chordata; Actinopteri; Cyprinodontiformes; Fundulidae.
UAAAAGUGAAUCAAUCUGUGACAGCAACCCGUUUUUUGGUAUAACUAUAAAAAUCCUAAUGUGAAAGGAUACAUGGUGUAUUUGUAAAUGCUUCAUUUGAAAAUUGAGUUUCUCACCAGGUAAACAGACUCAGCCAAAAUAAAAAAGAGUAAAUCACCGGAUUUAAUAGAGUAAUGACAGGACCAGGUUUUGAUUGCAUGCUUGGCAUUAACAACUCAGUCCUGAUUGAGAGCACUAACUGUUCUGUCUUAAGUCCUGUUUUUCAGAAGUUGAGAUUCUGUCCGGUUCUGGCCACCCUUUUUCUGAUGGAAGAUACAUCAAAAAGACGAGAAGAACAGCUGUAAAUUGAGCAUGGAGAGACGAGAUAUCUUUCAGGAGCAGACGGAGAGCAGAUUUGCACAGGAGAAUGGCUGAAUCUGGGUACUGGCAGAGUAAGCCCUGUGCACAUAUCCUUCUAAAUUGUGAAUUUUGAUGAAUGAUUUUGUGACAAAUGAGGACAUUGUAAACCUUUUUUGAUAAAUAUGUGUAAGGUCACUAUUUUGCCGUUGAUGUGGACUUUAAGUUCUAAAUGUGCUCAUGUAUUUUUUAUUUUUCUACUGUUCCUAUGUCCUGGAGUGGAGCAUGGUUCAUGGAGGAUGGGAUGAAUUGUCACCGAAGCGGACUUUCAUGUAUGGGCUGAUAAUAUAAUGAGAAAAGGUGAUGUUAUUAGAAAACAAUUCGAACAAUUUUUCAGUAAGACCAUUGCUUUAGCUGCUACAGGUUGCAUGUUAUGCUGUGGCUGAACAUUCUACAUUAUUUUCAAACAUUAUGUUCUCUAUGUUCUUAAUAUUUUGUUUUUAAUUGAGUCGGCAUAGCUGUUGUUUUUGUUUUGAUUUAAGCUUUCAGGUGAGCGAUCUUGGAAGGUAUUUAAAUUUGGAAGUUCAAGUCGAAUACACACAAAAAGAUCAUGUUGCAGGAUAAGUUAAGGUGCAAUUACGUAUAAACAGAGUGUUGUAAUGUUAUUAGUGAAUUCUUACAACUUAUACUCAGUACGAGUUGAGAUGAAACUAAAAAUGAAAUCAGAUGGACACUAAACAUCAAUGUUAAAGAAAAUGUACAUUAGCCCCAUUGGCAUUUUAAGGAUAUCAUCAUGAGACUAGUGAAGACUCUGAGCUGGGAAACCAUUGUAAUAUACGAUACUGGUUAGUUUUUCCUGUCUCCUUAGGGCGACCCAGGGACGUAGAAGGGCGGGGUCCCUCUUUGUGUGCUGGACUAAGGGACUCAGAGGCAUGAUGUUUGCAACAGAGGGGGCCCUGCACCAGGACUGUAAGAAAGCAGUGCAAUUUAAUCAAAGGAUCCUGGGGAGCGACAUACGGUGUCAGCGACAUGAGGACAAGAACUUUGCCACACUACGAAGCUGCCAAUCCCAUCAAAUGUUACAAAUUCUGAUUUUAUCUAUGCUAUGCUAAAUCCCAGAAGUUUUUGAUUUAUGAUAAGGUGUAGGAUGGGUAUAUUUUUUAGGAAGAUGUUUUUGGGUGGUAACCAUAGAAACUGAAUGAUGAUAUUAUACUAUUCAAAUUUUUUUAAUUUUGCUUAAUAUGUUUGUCUUCUUUCCUGUUAUUUUAUGUUUUUUGACAACAUUGUGAGUACCAUGGCUGGGUUUCUGAGCCAUGCUGGUUGGUCAGGUGGUCGGCUGGCGGACGCCCGUGGGGGAGGGGUCCAUGCAACAGUUUUUACCCUGAAUGAACACAUAAAUACCAGCGACAGGGAUUUUUCGGUUGCAUAUGGUCAGAAAUAACUGGCAUAUGGAAAAACAAUGGACAUUUUGUACAUUCGUAUAUAGUUGAGUGCAUGUUUUUAUUUUAUUCUACAUUUACGACCAUACAUUACCAAUUUUUCUUUGUUCUUUUUUCUGUUUGAUAAUCAAAGCAAGUAUUUUUACCCUUUUAUAUUCCUCUAUUACUCCACAUUUACAUUAUUCCAUUUUUCUUAUAGUUCCCAGUGUGAUUUUCCCUUGAUAUGGCUCACGUAAGUGAGCCAAGGGGGGAUGUAUGGACGAAUUCAUCUUUUAUUAUUGCCAAGAUUGAAUCCAGGUUGUCUUAAUAACAGAAAUCACUGCCCAAGGAAUGAUUAGUUCUAGAAUAUUUGUACUGAAUCACAACAAGGUAAAGUAAGGCCAAAGGAACUUUAGUUAAACUACUCUUGGCUCUUACUCUGUUUCUGUCUUUUUCCAAAGUUCUGUUUAUAAGACUUCCUAGAAAUGGAAGAGCACACACACACCAUUUCACACACACACCCCUCCAACUAGGGAGGGAGGGCUUUUGGUCCAGAGCAGCGCCUGUACACAGUAAGAUAUCAUGUUCCUAUUUACGUCAUACUGUAUCCCUAUAAAGGCUGAAAGUUACCCCAUAUUGUUGGGAUUGUUGGGACUGCUGUGAAAUGAAGAUGAUUGUAAGUCCAGAAUAAACGAAUCCCCCUGCUGGUCAUUGAAGAGAA